UAAAAUUAAAAAUUUAAAUAUUAAAUUAUUAAUAGUUAUAUUCUUGAAAAUUAAAAAAUUUGACGGUAUUUUAUCUAUUCAGAGGAACUUGUUUUUUAAUUGAUAAUCCUCAUUAUAUCUUUCUUAAAUUUUAUAAUUUAUAUACCAUCAUAGUAAAAAAAUCUUUUAAAAGGAUUAAUUUUUAAGAUAAGAUUUUAUUUAAUAAUUUAGAUCAAGGUGUAGUUUAUAUUUAAGUUAAAAUGAGUUACAAUAAAAUUAUUUAGACGAAAUAUUUAAUUAAAUAAAUUUAUGAAGGUGGAUUUGUUAAUAAAUAUAUUUAGAGAGAUAUAUUGAAUAUAGAUCUAGAAUGUGU
Molecule: ribosomal RNA, 352 nt
Filed under: Asiorrhina parasiatica
Lineage: Eukaryota; Metazoa; Arthropoda; Insecta; Diptera; Keroplatidae
Description: partial 12S ribosomal RNA
Source: RNAcentral